This is a long non-coding RNA of Drosophila pseudoobscura, 361 nucleotides long. RefSeq lists it as uncharacterized. The record is from RefSeq and is a predicted model, not a curated record. NCBI's taxonomy places the organism in Eukaryota, Metazoa, Arthropoda, Insecta, Diptera, Drosophilidae. The transcript has 3 exons.
CUCUUUGUAGAGGGGCUGCCAACUUCUUGCAGUAAACAGCUGAUUGUGUGCCCGCGUAAAGUGACUUGUUUAUAAAGUACAUUUAAGCUAAAUUCGAGUGUGGUUCAUGAAAAAGUACAAUUAUCUUGAAGACUAUAUUUCCUCUGCACUUGCUAAUAUCUUUGUGUCAACGUUUACUUGGAUAUCCGAUACAAAAACUUUGGCUUGACAAAAUUUGUGUUGAAGUUCGUUGUCUCUAAAUCAGUGCCGCACUUUUAAGGAGCUAAAGCGUAAAACGACGGACAAAUUGAUUAUAAUUGAAUAUGAUUGACGUCCGUUUUGGUGGCCCGAUAUCUUUUGGGAGCGAUAAUCUCUCGCAGGG